CGGGGUGAGUAAUGUAUGGGGAUCUGCCCGAUAGAGGGGGAUAACUACUGGAAACGGUGGCUAAUACCGCAUAAUGUCUACGGACCAAAGCAGGGGCUCUUCGGACCUUGCACUAUCGGAUGAACCCAUAUGGGAUUAGCUAGUAGGUGGGGUAAAGGCUCACCUAGGCGACGAUCUCUAGCUGGUCUGAGAGGAUGAUCAGCCACACUGGGACUGAGACACGGCCCAGACUCCUACGGGAGGCAGCAUG
Molecule: ribosomal RNA, 250 nt
Filed under: uncultured bacterium
Lineage: Bacteria
Description: partial 16S ribosomal RNA
Rfam family: Bacterial small subunit ribosomal RNA
Source: RNAcentral